RNAcentral lists this unclassified non-coding RNA (259 nucleotides) under uncultured Arcangeliella. RNAcentral describes it as "sequence contains ITS2". The record is from RNAcentral. Lineage: Eukaryota; Fungi; Basidiomycota; Agaricomycetes; Russulales; Russulaceae.
AAACCUCAACCUCCUUGGUUUCUUCUGGAGACCGAAGGAGGCUUGGACUUUGGAGGCCUUUGCUGGUGUCUCUGCCAGCUCCUCUCAAAUGAAUUAGCGGGGUCCUCUUUGCCGAUCCUUGACAUGUGAUAAGAUGCUUCCGUGUCUUGGUUUCUGGCUCUGUUGCUCUCGGGACCUGCUUCUAAACUGUCUAGACCUCGCGUCGAGACAAUGUUCGAGCUCGUCUCCCUUUCUGGGAAACCUUCUUGACCCCACGAAC